RNAcentral lists this ribosomal RNA (408 nucleotides) under Cyrtodactylus fasciolatus (Banded bent-toed gecko). RNAcentral describes it as "partial 12S ribosomal RNA". It matches the Rfam family "Bacterial small subunit ribosomal RNA", at positions 780 to 1388 of the family's 1533-position model. Lineage: Eukaryota; Metazoa; Chordata; Lepidosauria; Squamata; Gekkonidae. The record is from RNAcentral.
AGAUACCCCACUAUGCUUAGCCAUAAACCUAGAUGGCCACCACAACCCACCAUCCGCCAGAGAACUACCGGCGAAAAGCCUGAAACUCAAAGGACUUGACGGUGUCCCACAUCGACCUAGAGGAGCCUGUCCUAUAACCGAUACUCCCCGAUACACCCAACCAGCCCUCGCACCGCUCAGCCUAUAUACCGCCGUCGCCAGCCCACCCCACAAAGGACACACAGUGGGCACAACAGCACAUACUAACACGUCAGGUCAAGGUGUAGCCAACGGGCUGGCAGAGAUGGGCUACAUUUUCUACCAAAGAAUACCCCCACCAACAGCGCUGUGAAACCCGCACCACAAGGAGGAUUUAGCAGUAAGCCGGACAAGACAGCCCGACUGAAACUCGCCCUGGGACGCGUACAC